This 492-nucleotide ribosomal RNA is filed under the name uncultured bacterium. RNAcentral's name for it is "partial 16S ribosomal RNA". It matches the Rfam family "Bacterial small subunit ribosomal RNA", at positions 29 to 507 of the family's 1533-position model. The record is from RNAcentral.
AGUGAACGCUGGCGGUAGGCCUAACACAUGCAAGUCGAACGGCAGCACAGUAAGGGCUUGCUCUUACGGGUGGCGAGUGGCGGACGGGUGAGGAAUACAUCGGAAUCUACUUUUUCGUGGGGGAUAACGUAGGGAAACUUACGCUAAUACCGCAUACGACCUACGGGUGAAAGCAGGGGAUCUUCGGACCUUGCGCGAUUGAAUGAGCCGAUGUCGGAUUAGCUAGUUGGCGGGGUAAAGGCCCACCCAGGCGACGAUCCGUAGCUGGUCUGAGAGGAUGAUCAGCCACACUGGAACUGAGACACGGUCCAGACUCCUACGGGAGGCAGCAGUGGGGAAUAUUGGACAAUGGGCGCAAGCCUGAUCCAGCCAUACCGCGUGGGUGAAGAAGGCCUUCGGGUUGUAAAGCCCUUUUGUUGGGAAAGAAAAGCAGCAGGUUAAUACCCCGCUGUUCUGACGGUACCCAAAGAAUAAGCACCGGCUAACUUCGUG